GUGGACAUGAAGCUAGGGUUAUUGUUUGGGCUACGGUUAAGGUUGAACCAGGAUGUGGACAUGAAGCUAGGGUUAGGGUUUAGGCUACGGUUAAGGUUGAACCAGGAUGUGGACAUGAAGCUAGGAUUAGGGUUUAGGCUACGGUUAAGGUUGAACCAGGAUGUGGACAUGAAGCUAGGGUUAGGGUUUAGGCUACGGUUAAGGUUGAACCAGGAUGUGGACAUGAAGCUAGGGUUAUUGUUUGGGCUACGGUUAAGGUUGAACCAGGAUGUGGACAUGAAGCUAGGGUUAGGGUUUAGGCUACGGUUAAGGUUGAACCAGGAUGUGGACAUGAAGCUAGGGUUAGGGUUUAGGCUACGGUUAAGGUUGAACCAGGAUGUGGACAUGAAGCUAGAGUUAGGGUUUAGGCUACGGUUAAGGUUGAACCAGGAUGUGGACAUGAAGCUAGGGUUAGGGUUUAGGCUAUGGUUAAGGUUGAACCAGGAUGUGGACAUGAAGCUAGGGUUAGGGUUUAGGCUACGGUUAAGGUUGAACCAGGAUGUGGACAUGAAGCUAGGGUUAGGGUUUAGGCUACGGUUAAGGUUGAACCAGGAUGUGGACAUGAAGCUAGUGUUAGGGUUUAGGCUACGGUUAAGGUUGAACCAGGAUGUAGACAUGAAGUUAGGGUUAUUGUUUGGGCUACGGUUAAGGUUGAACCAGGAUGUGGACAUGAAGCUAGAGUUAGGGUUUAGGUUAAGGUUGAACCAGGAUGUGGACAUGAAGCUAGGGUUAGGGUUUAGGCUACGGUUAAGGUUGAACCAGGAUGUGGACAUGAAGUGAGGGUUAUUGUUUGGGCUACGGUUAAGGUUGAACCAGGAUGUGGACAUGAAGCUAGGGUUAGGGUUUAGGCUACGGUUAAGGUUAAGGUUGAACCAGGAUGUGGACAUGAAGCUAGGGUUAUGGUUUAGGCUACGGUUAAGGUUGAACCAGGAUGUGGACAUGAAGCUAGGGUUAGGGUUUAGGCUAUGGUUAAGGUUGAACCAGGAUGUGGACAUGAAGCUAGGGUUAGGGUUUAGGCUACGGUUAAGGUUGAACCAGGAUGUGGACAUGAAGUGAGGGUUAUUGUUUGGGCUACGGUUAAGGUUGAACCAGGAUGUGGACAUGAAGCUAGGGUUAGGGUUUAGGCUACGGUUAAGGUUGAACCAGGAUGUGGACAUGAAGCUAGGGUUAGGGUUUAGGCUACGGUUAAGGUUGAACCAGGAUGUGGACAUGAAGCUAGGUUAGGGUUUAGGCUACGGUUAAGGUUGAACCAGGAUGUGGACAUGAAGCUAGGGUUAGGGUUUAGGCUACAGUUAAGGUUGAACCAGGAUGUGGACAUGAAGCUAGGGUUAGGGUUUAGGCUACAGUUGGGUUGAUCCUCUCAAUCCUCUCAUUUGUAUUAAUUCAAAUGUUCC
RNAcentral lists this long non-coding RNA (1433 nucleotides) under Salmo salar (Atlantic salmon). RNAcentral describes it as "lncRNA (ENSSSAG00000113773.1)". The record is from RNAcentral. Lineage: Eukaryota; Metazoa; Chordata; Actinopteri; Salmoniformes; Salmonidae.